AGAAUCAACGCUGGCGGCGUGCCUAACACAUGCAAGUCGCACGAGAAAGGGGAGCAAUCCCUGAGUACAGUGGCGCACGGGUGAGUAACACGUGAAUUAUCUACCUCCGAGUGGGGAAUAACUGAGAGAAAUCUUAGCUAAUACCGCAUAACACUUACGAGUCAAAGCAGCAAUGCGCUUGGAGAGGAGUUCGCGGCCGAUUAGUUAGUUGGCGGGUAAUCGGCCCACCAAGACGAUGAUCGGUA
RNAcentral lists this ribosomal RNA (245 nucleotides) under uncultured bacterium. Its description in RNAcentral is "partial small subunit ribosomal RNA". It matches the Rfam family "Bacterial small subunit ribosomal RNA", at positions 26 to 285 of the family's 1533-position model. The record is from RNAcentral.